AUUGAACGCUGGCGGCAGGCCUAACACAUGCAAGUCGAACGGUAGCACAGAGAGCUUGCUCUCGGGUGACGAGUGGCGGACGGGUGAGUAACGUCUGGGAAACUGCCCGAUGGAGGGGGAUAACUACUGGAAACGGUAGCUAAUACCGCAUAACGUCGCAAGACCAAAGUGGGGGACCUUCGGGCCUCACACCAUCGGAUGUGCCCAGAUGGGAUUAGCUAGUGGGUGGGGUAAUGGCUCACCUAGGCGACGAUCCCUAGCUGGUCUGAGAGGAUGACCAGCCACACGGGAACUGAGACACGGUCCAGACUCCUACGGGAGGCAGCAGUGGGGAAUAUUGCACAAUGGGCGCAAGCCUGAUGCAGCCAUGCCGCGUGUAUGAAGAAGGCCUUCGGGUUGUAAAGUACUUUCAGCAGGGAGGAAGGCGGUGGAGUUAAUAACUUCACCGAUUGACGUUACCCGCAGAAGAAGCACCGGCUAACUCCGUGCCAGCCGCCGCCGCGG
Molecule: ribosomal RNA, 504 nt
Filed under: uncultured bacterium
Lineage: Bacteria
Description: partial 16S ribosomal RNA
Rfam family: Bacterial small subunit ribosomal RNA
Source: RNAcentral